GGGUUGUGAGGUUAAGCGACUAAGCGUACACGGUGGAUGCCCUGGCAGUCAGAGGCGAUGAAGGACGUGCUAAUCUGCGAUAAGCGUCGGUAAGGUGAUAUGAACCGUUAUAACCGGCGAUUUCCGAAUGGGGAAACCCAGUGUGUUUCGACACACUAUCAUUAACUGAAUCCAUAGGUUAAUGAGGCGAACCGGGGGAACUGAAACAUCUAAGUACCCCGAGGAAAAGAAAUCAACCGAGAUUCCCCCAGUAGCGGCGAGCGAACGGGGAGCAGCCCAGAGCCUGAAUCAGUGUGUGUGUUAGUGGAAGCGUCUGGAAAGGCGCGCGAUACAGGGUGACAGCCCCGUACACAAAAAUGCACAUACUGUGAGCUCGAUGAGUAGGGCGGGACACGUGGUAUCCUGUCUGAAUAUGGGGGGACCAUCCUCCAAGGCUAAAUACUCCUGACUGACCGAUAGUGAACCAGUACCGUGAGGGAAAGGCGAAAAGAACCCCGGCGAGGGGAGUGAAAAAGAACCUGAAACCGUGUACGUACAAGCAGUGGGAGCACGCUUAGGCGUGUGACUGCGUACCUUUUGUAUAAUGGGUCAGCGACUUAUAUUCUGUAGCAAGGUUAACCGAAUAGGGGAGCCGAAGGGAAACCGAGUCUUAACUGGGCGUUAAGUUGCAGGGUAUAGACCCGAAACCCGGUGAUCUAGCCAUGGGCAGGUUGAAGGUUGGGUAACACUAACUGGAGGACCGAACCGACUAAUGUUGAAAAAUUAGCGGAUGACUUGUGGCUGGGGGUGAAAGGCCAAUCAAACCGGGAGAUAGCUGGUUCUCCCCGAAAGCUAUUUAGGUAGCGCCUCGUGAAUUCAUCUCCGGGGGUAGAGCACUGUUUCGGCAAGGGGGUCAUCCCGACUUACCAACCCGAUGCAAACUGCGAAUACCGGAGAAUGUUAUCACGGGAGACACACGGCGGGUGCUAACGUCCGUCGUGAAGAGGGAAACAACCCAGACCGCCAGCUAAGGUCCCAAAGUCAUGGUUAAGUGGGAAACGAUGUGGGAAGGCCCAGACAGCCAGGAUGUUGGCUUAGAAGCAGCCAUCAUUUAAAGAAAGCGUAAUAGCUCACUGGUCGAGUCGGCCUGCGCGGAAGAUGUAACGGGGCUAAACCAUGCACCGAAGCUGCGGCAGCGACGCUGAUGCGUUGUUGGGUAGGGGAGCGUUCUGUAAGCCUGCGAAGGUGUGCUGUGAGGCAUGCUGGAGGUAUCAGAAGUGCGAAUGCUGACAUAAGUAACGAUAAAGCGGGUGAAAAGCCCGCUCGCCGGAAGACCAAGGGUUCCUGUCCAACGUUAAUCGGGGCAGGGUGAGUCGACCCCUAAGGCGAGGCCGAAAGGCGUAGUCGAUGGGAAACAGGUUAAUAUUCCUGUACUUGGUGUUACUGCGAAGGGGGGACGGAGAAGGCUAUGUUGGCCGGGCGACGGUUGUCCCGGUUUAAGCGUGUAGGCUGGUUUUCCAGGCAAAUCCGGAAAAUCAAGGCUGAGGCGUGAUGACGAGGCACUACGGUGCUGAAGCAACAAAUGCCCUGCUUCCAGGAAAAGCCUCUAAGCAUCAGGUAACAUCAAAUCGUACCCCAAACCGACACAGGUGGUCAGGUAGAGAAUACCAAGGCGCUUGAGAGAACUCGGGUGAAGGAACUAGGCAAAAUGGUGCCGUAACUUCGGGAGAAGGCACGCUGAUAUGUAGGUGAAGCGACUUGCUCGUGGAGCUGAAAUCAGUCGAAGAUACCAGCUGGCUGCAACUGUUUAUUAAAAACACAGCACUGUGCAAACACGAAAGUGGACGUAUACGGUGUGACGCCUGCCCGGUGCCGGAAGGUUAAUUGAUGGGGUCAGCGCAAGCGAAGCUCUUGAUCGAAGCCCCGGUAAACGGCGGCCGUAACUAUAACGGUCCUAAGGUAGCGAAAUUCCUUGUCGGGUAAGUUCCGACCUGCACGAAUGGCGUAAUGAUGGCCAGGCUGUCUCCACCCGAGACUCAGUGAAAUUGAACUCGCUGUGAAGAUGCAGUGUACCCGCGGCAAGACGGAAAGACCCCGUGAACCUUUACUAUAGCUUGACACUGAACAUUGAGCCUUGAUGUGUAGGAUAGGUGGGAGGCUUUGAAGUGUGGACGCCAGUCUGCAUGGAGCCGACCUUGAAAUACCACCCUUUAAUGUUUGAUGUUCUAACGUUGACCCGUAAUCCGGGUUGCGGACAGUGUCUGGUGGGUAGUUUGACUGGGGCGGUCUCCUCCUAAAGAGUAACGGAGGAGCACGAAGGUUGGCUAAUCCUGGUCGGACAUCAGGAGGUUAGUGCAAUGGCAUAAGCCAGCUUGACUGCGAGCGUGACGGCGCGAGCAGGUGCGAAAGCAGGUCAUAGUGAUCCGGUGGUUCUGAAUGGAAGGGCCAUCGCUCAACGGAUAAAAGGUACUCCGGGGAUAACAGGCUGAUACCGCCCAAGAGUUCAUAUCGACGGCGGUGUUUGGCACCUCGAUGUCGGCUCAUCACAUCCUGGGGCUGAAGUAGGUCCCAAGGGUAUGGCUGUUCGCCAUUUAAAGUGGUACGCGAGCUGGGUUUAGAACGUCGUGAGACAGUUCGGUCCCUAUCUGCCGUGGGCGCUGGAGAACUGAGGGGGGCUGCUCCUAGUACGAGAGGACCGGAGUGGACGCAUCACUGGUGUUCGGGUUGUCAUGCCAAUGGCACUGCCCGGUAGCUAAAUGCGGAAGAGAUAAGUGCUGAAAGCAUCUAAGCACGAAACUUGCCCCGAGAUGAGUUCUCCCUGACUCCUUGAGAGUCCUGAAGGAACGUUGAAGACGACGACGUUGAUAGGCCGGGUGUGUAAGCGCAGCGAUGCGUUGAGCUAACCGGUACUAAUGAACCGUGAGGCUUAACCUUACAACGCCGAAG
RNAcentral lists this ribosomal RNA (2925 nucleotides) under Escherichia coli. Its description in RNAcentral is "bacterial LSU rRNA". It matches the Rfam family "Bacterial large subunit ribosomal RNA". Lineage: Bacteria; Pseudomonadati; Pseudomonadota; Gammaproteobacteria; Enterobacterales; Enterobacteriaceae. The record is from RNAcentral.